AAAAAAGAAAAAUUCGUUCAAACAGAAAUAUCAGAAAUUCGUUCGGAUGGGUGAAGCGAAAUUGCAAAUUUCGAAAUCGUUGCAUCUCCUCUUUGGAGUAUCGGGGAGUCGCGAUUACGAAUUGAAUAUUAAUGAACACUUUAUGGAUUCCGAUCGAGUAAUAGUAAAGUCGAAUUAAAUAUUAAUGAGGUUCCCUUUCGAGGAAGAAUUAAUUAUAACAUUCCUAUGAAAUCUGGACGAGUCACGCGUAUUACGAAUUUAAAUCAUUCCGACUUUCCAAGAUGAUUUUCCACUUUUCUGGCUCCGCUUUUAUCUCGAAGAUUCGAACCUCGAGCCAACUGAGUAAACGAGAAAUUAAUCGAGCGGAAUUACAUUUAUCGCUGAAAAGAUCAUUUUAAAUAUUUCUAUCGUUAGAAAUGUAUAUUAUUAAUACGCAUGCUCCCUCUUUGUAGAAGAUAUCUCCUCUAGAAACAAUAUUUUCGCUCUACAAAGACGAAUCAUUAUCAAUUGUUUCGCAUUUCGCAUGAAAUCACCCGACCUCUCGAUUCUCCUCCAAAGAUUCUAAAUUUCUGUUUUAAAUUAAUUCUUUCUCUGGAUCCCCAAUCGUUUUUCUUCAUUUUAUACAUUCACAUCCUAAUCAUAUAUAAUUUAUAUACAAUCCGAGACAAAGUAGUACACCAAAAAUAAGAAAAGAAUUUCCAAAGAUAUUUCGAAAGAUUCUGAUUCGCAAACAAAAAUCGUGCAACGUUCCAUUAAAUCACAAAUGCGCGAAACGAUGCAUCCUCGUCGCGAAUCUCGCAUUUUCCGGCACAUUAUGGCAUUCUUUUCGCUCCUCCACCGUGAUUUGAUUUGCGACCCUCUCCCCCACACCACUGAUAAUUCCUCUACCCGAAAUCGUAUAUCUCCACGUCGUGUAUAAUUUGAUCGCGAUAAUUUCUCUGCUCCCCGGCGUGAAACUAUGAUUACGGCUCGUUGAAUUCCGACGAUUCUUCUCCCUUCACUCCGUUGACACGUUGUUCGUUACCCUCCAUCUUGUUUAUAUCACUCGUUGCCACUCGUUCUUAUCAAUUAUCUCGAGUUAUCCUCGAUAACAACGAGACUUGGGCUGCGCGAAACGUGGCUUAAACCACGUUUUAUUAAUGUUCGAAAGCCGCGGGAUUCGGGCAGGGAUUUGCCUCAAUGUGCAUAUACGAAAACUCUCUCUCGCAGUUGGCGCGUUUUUCGUUUCCUACGAUUGGGAUUUACGAUUCGUUGGAAUGGUGUCAAUGAAGUUGAAUUAUUGAACAGGAUACGUAUGAAUAAAUUAAUUGGUGGAUUAAUAGGAUUAUAUAGGAAGCGAUGGUAGUGGAUAUUGGAAGGAGUGGAUAGGUUUGAUAGAAGAGGAGAAUUUUUAUUGAAUUAUUAUUAACAUGUGUAUUUUCAGGUGCAGUUAUGAUUGGUUCUUCGAGACUUCUUUGUUACUUUUUUAGUCGGCUUCGUUUACAUCAGAAGUGAUGAUAUCUUGCGAUGUGCAGUUACGUAUUCGAGGCAGCCUGAUUGGUUCUUCGAGACUUCUUUGUUACUUUUUUAGUCAGUUUCGUUUACAUCAGAAGUAAUGAAGAAGCUUGUGACAUCUUGCAAUGUGAGAAUCCAGUGAAAAGUAGCUUGUACAUUCGUUUGGAUAAAUGUUGCCUUCUUCGUAUUUUUUGAUCUAUACGGAGACAGAAUCGACAUGGACUGAUAGCCAAUAAUAUUCCUUGAUUUGCAUCAAUUUUUAAAAGGAGGAUAUAAAAUAAGAAAAUCAAAGAUCAGGGGAGAAGAAAAUCCAGCAUCCAAGUGCUCUCGUAAGCGGUCCUUACGUUUCUACGAUGAGAAUUUGUUCCUCUUUACGAGGAUUUUACGAUGAGAUCAGAUUGGAUUUUCCACAAUAAAACGUUAAUCGUAUCAAGGUGUCAGCCAUCUUUGUUAUCUAUUGUGAUAUAUAAAUAAGAAAAAAAAUUUACGAUCAUAAAAAGCUACGCUGAUCAUAAAAAAAAAAAAAAAGUACGCUGAUCGUAAAAAAUUGAAAUGUAUUAUUACAAAAAUUCUUACGAUUUCGAUACGAGAUUCCGAGAUCCGGAAUGAAAAGGAAGCUUUGGACGGUUUAUGUUUGAAUCAACCGUUCAGAAAUAUUGAAAAUAUUUUAUGGGCGAUAAAUUUUUCUUUUUCAGGUCUCUCCGUGUUGCAUACGUUGGUAUACGUCCUUCAAAACUUACCUUAAAAAAUUUUUAAAAUAUAUCAUUAUAUUUCACAUAUUGGAAAAUGGAAAAAAAAUUAAAUUCACCGUUAAAAUAUUACCUUUCCAUCCCCGUCGCAUCAUCGACGAAUUUAUAUUAUUAUUUAUAUUGUUCCAAAAGAGGAGUAAAAAAAAAAAAAAAUGAUAAACCGAUCAUCCCAUCGUGCUAUUAUAUUACGCCCAUAUAAAAUGCUGAACGUAUAAGUUGAGAAGCGGCGGUCUGUUAGCGACGGUAAAAUUAUUACGAGCACGGGAACGUUUAAUCGGCCGCGUUCAUUCAAGCAUUCACAGUUCACUUAGAAUCUGCUCGAGAUGCUUGGGCGGUCUGGAGAAAAAUUAUUGAAAGUCUUUUUCAACGAAGAGAGUCGAAGAUUGAACAUCCUCUGACAAAUACACAAUAUCCUCCAUAGUCCAUUUAACCUUUUCAUUCUUAUAAACUGUGAGAUAUCUCGCAAUACAAUAUUUCUUUAAUGCAAAUUUUAUUUUCAUCGUUUCCUUUUUAUCGAGACGCGAUUAUUAUUAUCGUUAAAAUUAAACUUUGGAUUCGGACGAACAAGAUUACUCGACCAUAUUGAAAGAAAAUAUAAAUCCCCUGUAACAAUGAAAAAAGAAGAUAAACGGUGUGUUAAAAGUUGA
Molecule: long non-coding RNA, 2890 nt
Filed under: Apis mellifera (honey bee)
Lineage: Eukaryota; Metazoa; Arthropoda; Insecta; Hymenoptera; Apidae
Description: uncharacterized LOC100577260
Source: RNAcentral